RNAcentral lists this ribosomal RNA (1202 nucleotides) under Salmonella enterica. RNAcentral's name for it is "partial 23S ribosomal RNA". It matches the Rfam family "Bacterial large subunit ribosomal RNA", at positions 1746 to 2925 of the family's 2925-position model. The record is from RNAcentral. Lineage: Bacteria; Pseudomonadati; Pseudomonadota; Gammaproteobacteria; Enterobacterales; Enterobacteriaceae.
GCACGCUGACACGUAGGUGAAGUGAUUUACUCAUGGAGCUGAAGUCAGUCGAAGAUACCAGCUGGCUGCAACUGUUUAUUAAAAACACAGCACUGUGCAAACACGAAAGUGGACGUAUACGGUGUGACGCCUGCCCGGUGCCGGAAGGUUAAUUGAUGGGGUCAGCGCAAGCGAAGCUCCUGAUCGAAGCCCCGGUAAACGGCGGCCGUAACUAUAACGGUCCUAAGGUAGCGAAAUUCCUUGUCGGGUAAGUUCCGACCUGCACGAAUGGCGUAAUGAUGGCCAGGCUGUCUCCACCCGAGACUCAGUGAAAUUGAACUCGCUGUGAAGAUGCAGUGUACCCGCGGCAAGACGGAAAGACCCCGUGAACCUUUACUAUAGCUUGACACUGAACAUUGAGCCUUGAUGUGUAGGAUAGGUGGGAGGCUUUGAAGUGUGGACGCCAGUCUGCAUGGAGCCGACCUUGAAAUACCACCCUUUAAUGUUUGAUGUUCUAACGUGGACCCGUAAUCCGGGUUGCGGACAGUGUCUGGUGGGUAGUUUGACUGGGGCGGUCUCCUCCUAAAGAGUAACGGAGGAGCACGAAGGUUGGCUAAUCCUGGUCGGACAUCAGGAGGUUAGUGCAAUGGCAUAAGCCAGCUUGACUGCGAGCGUGACGGCGCGAGCAGGUGCGAAAGCAGGUCAUAGUGAUCCGGUGGUUCUGAAUGGAAGGGCCAUCGCUCAACGGAUAAAAGGUACUCCGGGGAUAACAGGCUGAUACCGCCCAAGAGUUCAUAUCGACGGCGGUGUUUGGCACCUCGAUGUCGGCUCAUCACAUCCUGGGGCUGAAGUAGGUCCCAAGGGUAUGGCUGUUCGCCAUUUAAAGUGGUACGCGAGCUGGGUUUAGAACGUCGUGAGACAGUUCGGUCCCUAUCUGCCGUGGGCGCUGGAGAACUGAGGGGGGCUGCUCCUAGUACGAGAGGACCGGAGUGGACGCAUCACUGGUGUUCGGGUUGUCAUGCCAAUGGCACUGCCCGGUAGCUAAAUGCGGAAGAGAUAAGUGCUGAAAGCAUCUAAGCACGAAACUUGCCCCGAGAUGAGUUCUCCCUGAGACUUAGAGUCUCCUGAAGGAACGUUGAAGACGACGACGUUGAUAGGCCGGGUGUGUAAGCGCAGCGAUGCGUUGAGCUAACCGGUACUAAUGAACCGUGAGGCUUAACCUU